Long non-coding RNA from Labeo rohita (rohu), 324 nucleotides. RefSeq lists it as uncharacterized. The record is from RefSeq and is a predicted model, not a curated record. NCBI's taxonomy places the organism in Eukaryota, Metazoa, Chordata, Actinopteri, Cypriniformes, Cyprinidae. The transcript is spliced from 3 exons.
UUUCAUUACAGAAUCAACUCAACAAACUGAGUGUCACAAUCAUACAGAGGUGGACUGUAAUAAUCAGAAACAGUGGCAGAUUAUUAUUAUCAUAUCUGCUCUGAUGAACGGAAUUCUGGUCAUUGUGGUGAUUGUUUUUGCUGUUGGGAAUGCAGAACGAAUGGAAAAACAUGUUCAUAAUGCUGAUCUGCAAACACAAGUUACAUAUCAGUCAUUACAAGUACAAUAAGUACGCAGUGGUGGACUUUUCUACAAGAAUAGUCAUCAAGUCAGCAGCAUUUGUAUGUGAUUAUAUAACAUGUUUUUAGAUAUGAUGUGACUGCC